Molecule: transfer RNA, 72 nt
Filed under: Kofleriaceae bacterium
Lineage: Bacteria; Pseudomonadati; Myxococcota; Haliangiales; Kofleriaceae
Description: tRNA-Asn
Rfam family: tRNA
About the family: Transfer RNA (tRNA) molecules are approximately 80 nucleotides in length. Their secondary structure includes four short double-helical elements and three loops (D, anti-codon, and T loops).
Source: RNAcentral
GGGUCGGUAGCUCAUUGGUUGAGCGGCUGCCUGUUAAGCAGCGAGGAGUGGGUUCGAUUCCCAUCCGGCCCU